This 4967-nucleotide long non-coding RNA is filed under the name Sus scrofa (pig). RNAcentral describes it as "lncRNA (ENSSSCG00055019609.1)". The record is from RNAcentral. Lineage: Eukaryota; Metazoa; Chordata; Mammalia; Artiodactyla; Suidae.
UUUUUUUUUUUUUUUUUGAAUAGAGAUGUUAUGUCUGAUAAGAUCAAGAACCAUUGGGUUAGUUUCCAUCAGAAAUUCCAAUUUUGGAGUUCCCAUCAUGGCUCAGCGGAAACGAAUCUGACUAGUAUCCAUGAGGAUGCAGGUUCCAUCCCUGGCCUUGCUCAGUGGGUUAAGAAUCCAGCAUUGCUGGGAGCUGUGGUACAGGUCACAGAUGUGUCUUAGGUCUGGCGUUGCUGUGGCUGUGGCGCAGGCCAGUAGUUACAGCACCAAUCGACCCUAGCCUGGGAACCUCCAUAUACCAUGGGUGUGGCUCUAAAAAGACCAAAAAAAAAGAAAUUCCAUUCCAAUUUUUUUCUCUUCUGGAAAAUUUAGUUUUAGAGUCAGUAUGCAUAGAUAUUUCUCAAAAUUCAAUCCCUUCUGGAAAUGAUUUAUGAUUGCUCCUGCUGUGUUAAUAAAAUAGUGUGAAAAGAGCUUGUAGUGUAUCUGACCUGAGGAUGUGAUAUGUUGGGAAUUGAGGGGGAAGAAAGAGAACGAACGAUAUCUUGGAUAGCCUUCAAAAGAAGCCAUAAAAGCUAUACUUGGUUACCUACUUUAGGCAGCCUUCACUACCGUCAAAACCCACAACCAUCUCCACCAGCACUACCCAUAACAUAAUCAACUACAAACAUACUUGAGGAAAGACCAAGCUCUCUCCACUUUAGCCGCUAAGAUUUAGAGAAAAGAUGUAAAUAAAAACAUCAUUGACUGUAGGGGGAAGCCAAGGCUUCUAGUUACCCUGUAACAUUCUCCUGAAUAUUAUUCCUCCCAAUGUUAUGCCAUUGAUUCAAAAGAAUGUAUGCCAUUCUUUUCAAAAAUGAGUGGUCUUUAUUUGUAAUUAAAUUUUGAAAAUGAUUUCAGUGACAAAUGUGUGCCAUUUACCAAAAUUAGAUACAGGUAAUUGAAACUUUUAAAAUCCCAAUGAAGGCUGAUGCGUGUAUUCUAUACAACAAAUAAUUAUGAUGUUUAUUUUGCUACCUGCACAUAAAGUUUUGUCUUGGCUGCUUUCCUACGCCAUAUAAUUAUGUUAAGAUGUAUUUUUUACGCUCUCUGCAGUCUGAGAUAUGUUUUUUGAAAAUUGAAAAUAAAAUGACUUUUCUUAAUCACAAUAUAUUUUUCUUAAUCACAAAUAUAUUUUUUCCCCCUCUGGAAGACACUGUCUUUUUUACUUACUGUUUUAAAAACUGCCCAAAUCAAUACAACUUUCAUGGUUGAGCACUAGACUAUUUGAUUGUGUUAGGGGAAUAUGUACAGUGCUGGGAAUAGCAUUAACUUCUCUGGCUCUAUUAGUUUUGAGGCAAUGGUUCAUUAACAGCAUAUACCAUUAAUUUAAAGUAAGCCCUGCACUAAUAAUGACAAUUGAUUUCUUUGUUUAAUUUCUCUAUAACCAAAUGGCACACUUUACAAUGAACCCCAAUUUAAAGUCCCUUUGGGACUCUGAAUUACAUUACAUCUAUUUAAAAGGUUAUGUUUAAUAACUUAACUCACUUGAUACUUUCCUUUUUACAACAUUCAAAAUAUAAAAACAGAACUAAUUACACUAUUAUAAUUUUAGUUAUUACGUUUUAGUAAAAGAUUAAUAAGCAUUUCUAAAAAUAAAAAGAAUGCUUCCACACAUAAAUUUUCCUUUCAACUUGUACUAACCUCAUUUUAUAAAGAACUACAAUACAUGGCAUAGAUUUAAAAACACAAUCUCCGUCAUUCUCUGUGGUCUAAAAGUCACAAUUUUAGUGUGCCAGCAGCUACUCCGUCUGAAUAUACUGACCUUGAGUUGUCAGACAUUUUUUCUGGCAUAACUUAGCUAUAAAACAUAUAUCUUGAAAUAUGUGCUUAAAAAUACAUAUUAUUAAUGAAAACCUUAACUGUCCACUAAUGUAAUGAAGUACCUCAAGGUGAUGUGAAAAAUAAACUCUUGUUGGCAUAAAUAUAAAUCCUGAGCAUUAAAUCCUUGAGUUUAAGUUCCGACUCUGCACUUAUAAACUGGGUCAUCUUGGCCAUGUCAUUUUAUGUUUCUGAGUGUCUCUUUCUGCAUACAUCAAAAGUGAUUAAUAAUAUAUAUUAUACUUCACUUCCAGGGCAUUUGUGAAUAUAAAAUAAGAAAAUUCAGAUUAUUUUCAAAUCACAGUAAUAAGAUGAUGAAGAAAAGGAAAAAAUAUAUUUCAAACAUCAUGAUGUGCUUUCUGCUCUGUGGAAUUAUGAAUCCAGCAGAUGUAUUUUUAAAUAACCAACAGAGUAUGAACCUGAGGGGAACACUGUAAACUAUAUGACUAACAUAAUCUCAAACAAGAAUAAAGCACAUGGGCCACCUGACUGUAGGAAGUCCCAAAUAAUUCAAUUUCAUUCCUUCAACCAUGGCCAAAGCAAGCACCUAUAACAAUAGGAAAAGGCACAUUAAACCUAUCAUACUGUUAGAAAUUCAUUUCUUAUUUUUAUGGUCUAGAAUAAUUCUGAGGGCAUUGGAGGCUAAGGUAAGCACUGCACCUGUGAACAUGAUACAACCAUUAGUCAAAGUCACGGUACUUUUUUUAAACUGAAGUUAUCAUUUGCUUACAAUGUUGUGUUAAUUUUUGCUGUACAGAAAAGUGAUUUAGUUAUAUAUACAUAUAUAUCUUCUUUUUCAUAUUCUUUCCCAUUAUGGUUUAUUACAGGAUAUUGAAUAUAGUUUCUUGUGCUAUAAAGCAGGGCCUUGUUGUUUAUCCAUUCUAUAUAUAGUGGUUUACAUCUGUUAAUAACAAAUUCCUAAUUUAUUUCCCCUCCACCCCCCUUUCCCCUUUGGUAACUCUUAAGUUUGCUGUCUAUACCUGUGAGUCUAUUUCUGUUUUGUAUGCAAGUUCAUCUGUGUCAAUUUUUAAGAUUACACAUAUAAGUGAUAUGAUACAACAUUUUUCUUUCUCUGUCAGACUUAUUUCACUUAGUAUGAUAAUCUCAAGGUCCAUCCAAGUUGUGGCAAAUGGCAUUAUUCAUUAGUUUUUUAUGGCUGAGUAAUACUGUGUCUGUAUAUAUAUAUAUAUACACACACACAUAUAUAUAUAGUGUAUAUAUUGUAUACAUAUACAUUACCUCUUUAUCUGUGCAUCUGUUGAUGGACACUUAGGUUGCUUCCAUGUCUUGCCUAUUGCAAAUAGUGCUGCUAUGAACAAAUUAGAGGUUUCCUCAGAUGUGUGCCUAGGAGUGGGAGUGCAGGAUCAUAUGAUAACUCUAUUUCUAGUUUUUUAAGGAACCUCCGUACCAUCCUCCAUAGUGGCUACACUAAUUUACAUUCACAUCAACAGUAUAGGAGGGUUUCCUUUUCUCUUUUAAGCACACCCUCUCCAAUGCUUAUUAUUUGUAGACCUCUUGAUGAUGGCCAUUCUACUUGUAUGAGGUAAUACCUCACUGUAGUUUUGAUUUGCCUUUCUCUAAUGAUUAGCAAUGUUCAGCAUUUUUUCAUGUUCUAUAAGCAAAUCCCAAAUGGGUUUAUAGUCCCAAGCUUGAUCCAAAGCUCCAAACGAGUAUUUUUCCCUCCUGCGAUAAAUCUCAAUUAUAUAUCCCAAACCAAAUGCAUUCACUUUGCACUUACACGUACUAGAGCUUGGGCGUACUUCUUCUGUAAAUAUUCCUAAAUAUUUUGUGCACAUUUUCUAUAAAAGCAUAUAUAAUUGUGAAAGUGAAAUAAAAUAAGGAAUUCAUAUAUUUCACUAGUUCUUUGUGAAUGGCCUAGGGGCAAGAAUGAAUAUAAACCCAUCUAAACCUUUACCUACCUCCUAAAAAUCAAUACUUGACAUGAAAAAUAUAGCCACAGAUGAACAUACUACCAGCUUAUCACAAAUUGUGUGACCAAUAUAACCCUUGUACUUGAAACGGAGAAAAUUAAAUCUACUUUCUAAUGAUGGAUGUGACAUUACCUCAAAUCAAAUAAACUCCACCCUUCUUGCUGAGAAGCCCACAGAAAAAUAGUUCUGCAGCACCUUUAUUGAGUAGAAAUAGCACCACAAAGAGACAAUGUUUAGGAAAUGCUAUAGUGUGGGAUGAGUAAUUAAGAGAUGAAAACAUUUUUAUUCUCUUCUAAGGGCAGCAAAAGAUUAAUUUAGCACUCNAUAUAAUGACACGACUGAUUAGUUCAUUUUGUAUAAAAAAAUGAAUAGCUUAAAUCAAAUCCUCAUGCUAACAGGUAACAGGAAUAGUUCCUUGAGAAAAGAAGCAACAUGUUCACAAUAAAUGACAAAAACAAUGAGAUGAGCAACAAUCUUCUAAGCCAGCUGUGUCAACUCUUAAGAAAGAGAAGAGCAGAUAGCAGGCAGCAUCAACCUCCUACAAAAAUCCAAGCCCUGGGCCAUAGGAGAUUAGAAUUUCAUGUCAUUUUUCUGACUUACACAUUCUCUAACUUUAGGAAUACUUAGAUGAGAUUUAUACCAGACAUAAAAAAGGGGAGGAAAAUCAAUAAACUAAUCAUUGACUUAUAUCUUUGAAGAAAGAAGUGCAAAAACUGUCACUGUAUGCAUAUGACAUAAUACUAUAUAUAGAAAACCCUAAAAACUACUUGAACUGAACAACAAACUCAGCAAAGUAGCAGGAUAUAAGAUUAACAUUUAGAAAUCAGUCACAUUUCUGUAUACUAACAACAAAAUAUUAGAAGAGGAAUACAAAAAUACAAUACCUUUUAAAGUGCACCAAAACAAAUCAAGUACCUGGGAAUACACCUGACCAAGGAGGUAAAAGACUUAUAUGCUGAGAACUAUAAAACAUUAAUCAAGGAAAUUAAAGAGGAUGCAAAGAAAUGGAAAGAUAUUCCAUGAUCCUAGGUUGGAAAAAUUUAUAUUGUAAAAAUGGCCAUACUACUCAAAGCAUCUGCAGAUUCAAUGCAAUCCCUAUCAAACUACCCAUGACAUUUUUCAUGGAACUAGAACAAACAAUCCAAAAAUUUAUAUAGAACCACAAAAGACUCAGGAUUG